CAACACUAAGAAGGGGAAAGCUGGUUAUUUGCUGGACAUUUCAGGUAGCAAGUACCUCAUUCUCAUGAUGUCUGACAGGGGAAAACCUGUAUAACCAUCAAACAUCCCCACUUUGGAUUUGCAGCAACCUCACAGUUCCCCUCCCUGUCCCCUGUGCAGCCUCCUUGCUCCCAUUCCCUCGUUAGUUCAUCUCUAAACCCUUCACAGGGCCGUUUGUCCCCCUCCCUUCUUCCCAUCUGACCUCGUCUGAGAUGAUGUCCUCACAUCACUCAGCCUUUCAGUCCAGUGCUUUUCCUGCUUCAUGAAUCCAGCCAUGUGGCUACAUGGUAUUUGACAGGCAGGCACAAGCUUCCUGCAGCCAUGUUCUGAGGGGUUCGGAAGCCAAGCACAGCAGAGCACUGAUCUUGAGCUCUGAGCUGGCAAAAGGAGAGGAGUCUCUCCAUCUAUGCCCAGCUAAUGUCUGUUGAAUGUAGCAAUACAGCUUCACUUGGCUCAAAGCCAAGGCUGGUUCCCAUCUGUAUUCAAAAGGCAACAUAGAUAUAUCUCAAGUGAUACAGUGUGCCCUGCCUUUCCCAGUUUCUUCUUCAGUUUCCUCUUCCCCUUUUUGCAGCUUGUGAUGGUUGGUAGCUGUGCAACAAGCACUGCAAGUGGCACUCUGGAAGGCCUGACCAUGUGAAUUUUCAAUGCCUCCAGCAACCAAAUCUGGAGGACUCAGUGAGAGGAGGCCUGCAAAAAGCAAGAAGCUGUUCCUUACCUUGAGAGACAACAGAGUCUGGAGACCAAUGCAAAACUCCAGCAUUUCAUCAUCUAAGAAGAGAGAAGAGAUUGAUCAGGCUCAAAACUAUGGAUACUGCCCCUCUAAAGAAAGUAUCCCUCUCCUACAAGAAGUGGAAUGUGAGAGCAUCUGGUUCAUUAAGUUAUAUGGUUAAGAUCUAUUUAUUAUAAAGUUAAUCACAAAUACAAAUGGAAGUGAUGAAUUAAACACACAAACAUUAACAAGAAGGUGGUAUCCGUGACAAAAACUAAAACCAGCACUCUUCUACCACUGACUGAUGAGCCAUUAAAGGAGCAACUUAGACAUAGCCCUGUAAAGGGUCAAAAUGGACUUUCUAACUGAUAAGAGGGAACUACCAUUAAUGUAAGUAUUAAAGAAUAUUUGAUGAGGCUUGUGGGAUUGUUUGAAACUCAUUAUGAGAUAUCAGAAAAGGCUUUUUGGUUCAUGUAAAACAUGCUAUGGGAUGUUUAGUGGAAGGGCCAAGGGUGGGAGAUGGUAGGAAUCAGGGUGAAUCAGGGAGGAACAAGAGUGGGAAAAUGGAGAGAGGGAUGCGGGGAUACAGGGGCGAGUCAUAUGUAAGCAGGCCAUCAGUCAGUUCACCUGUCUGACUGAGCCUGCCCCUGGUGACUGCAAUCUAUCCUAUCUUCUUAUUAGAUACCCUUUUUAAUAUAUAUAUAUAUAACUAUUUUAUGUGCAAGAGCUGGAAGUCUAAGUACCAGCAAGUUCAGAAGAGGCCGCAAGUCAAAGGGCCAAUAGGUCUAAAUGUCAGCAACUGCAAGAAAGAGAUGCAGCUCACAGGGCCCAUAGGUCCAGGUGUCAGCAACUAGGACACCAGUGUGUAAGAGAGGCCUGGGUGUAGUCCUAAGCUGGGAAAACAAGGGAACCUUGAAGAAAAUAGGGAGGCUUGUAGCCUGGUAGCUAGGGAAGGGAGCAUAGGCCUGGAUGCAAGCAACUGGAGAAGGGACUAUGGGUCACCGGGCCUGUAGAGCUAGGUGCCAGCAACUGGAGAGACUAUCAUGCAGGAGAGUUCAGGGUACCAGCUGUAACCAGGGUCACAGAAUUUUAUAAGCCAACAACUGGAGAGGGCAAGGCAUGUGUAUGAGAGGUCUAGAAGCCACUAACUAGAAAGACUUGGGUGUGUUUGUAUUUCCCCAGUUAAUUUAAUCUUGUACGCAUGUAUGUUUAUGUUUGUAAUUUGAUAGCACACUUAAAGCUGGUCUUGUCAGUCAGUAGGAAGAGGUCUAUGAUGCAUAUGCAGAGACUCUAGGUCUGAGUUAGUGUCUGCGUAAGGGGCCUAGGGCCCAGACACAGAUACAAAACACAUUUAGAAUCUGUGCUGAUAUUUGAAAAGUCUGUGAAUAAGUGUGCUUGUGAAUCGAGAGGCUUGAAGGUGUAUGAGUUUUUAUUAGUGACCUUCAAUCCUGAUCAGCCAGAGAGGAGGACCAGGACUGGGCUACCUAUACUGAUAUUUACAUUUAUGUGAGUGUUAGUAAAGACAACACUGUAUGGUAAUAUGUGG
Oxyura jamaicensis (ruddy duck) is the source of this 2294-nucleotide long non-coding RNA. RefSeq lists it as uncharacterized. NCBI's taxonomy places the organism in Eukaryota, Metazoa, Chordata, Aves, Anseriformes, Anatidae. The record is from RefSeq and is a predicted model, not a curated record. The transcript is spliced from 2 exons.